UACAGAGGCCUCAAGCGUUGUUCGGAUUCAUUGGGCGUAAAGGGUGCGUAGGUGGCGUGGUAAGUCGGGUGUGAAAUUUCGGAGCUUAACUCCGAAACUGCAUUCGAUACUGCUGUGCUUGAGGACUGGAGAGGAGACUGGAAUUUACGGUGUAGCAGUGAAAUGCGUAGAGAUCGUAAGGAAGACCAGUGGCGAAGGCGGGUCUCUGGACAGUUCCUGACACUGAGGCACGAAGGCCAGGGGAGCAAACGGG
Molecule: ribosomal RNA, 253 nt
Filed under: uncultured bacterium
Lineage: Bacteria
Description: partial 16S ribosomal RNA
Rfam family: Bacterial small subunit ribosomal RNA
Source: RNAcentral